Molecule: long non-coding RNA, 307 nt
Organism: Neltuma alba
Lineage: Eukaryota; Viridiplantae; Streptophyta; Magnoliopsida; Fabales; Fabaceae
Exons: 4
Source: RefSeq, a predicted model, not a curated record
AAAGUGUGUAUCAUGAUUCCAGUGCUGAUCAUGCAAAGAAACACCAUGAAAAGAAAAGGAAGCAUGAUGGAGAUGAAGAUCUUAACGAUGCAAACAAACACAAAAAAAGCAAGCAUAAGAGCUCAAAAAUUGAUGAGUUGGGGGCAAUAAAGGUAGCAGGAUAAAAUGGAUACAUACUGUAGUUCACUUUUUUCCUCAAAUAGUUGUUGUCAGUUGUUAAAGUUUGGAGGGGUCUCUCAGUUGACAUUGUGAAACUUAAGAGUAGCUAGUGAACUGUCAGUAAAUAUUAUCAUGAGGGUGAAUUGGU